CCUACGGGUGGCAGCAGUGGGGAAUAUUGCACAAUGGGGGAAACCCUGAUGCAGCGACGCCGCGUGAGUGAAGAAGUAUCUCGGUAUGUAAAGCUUCAUUAGCAGGGAAGUAAAUGACGGUACCUGACUAAGUAGCCCCGUUUAACUACGUGCCCGCUGCCGUGGUAAUAUGUAAGGGGCAAGCGUUAUCCGGAUUGAAUGGGGGUUAAGGGAGCGUAGGUGGCAUGGUAAGCCAGGAGGGGAAACCUGGGGCUCAACCCAGCAGAUUGCUUUUGGAACUAGAAGACUGGAGUGCGGGUGGGGUAGGCGGAAUGCGUGGUGUAGCGGUGAAAUGCAUAGAUAUUAGGAAGAACUCCGAUUGCGAAGGCAGCUUACUAAGCAAAAACUGACACUGAAGCUCGAAAGCGUGGGGAGCAAACAGGAUUAGAUACCCGGGUAGUC
Molecule: ribosomal RNA, 441 nt
Filed under: uncultured bacterium
Lineage: Bacteria
Description: partial 16S ribosomal RNA
Rfam family: Bacterial small subunit ribosomal RNA
Source: RNAcentral